CUGGGACCCCUCUCUCUGCAGCAGAGAGAGCUAUUCUUUCUUUCGCCUGUUAAUCUUCCACUCUUAACCUCACUUCGUGUGCCUGCGUCUUUGAUUUCCUUGGCGUGAGGCAAUAAACCUCAGUUCUUCUGUUAUAUAAAGGAAAGAUUUCAACAGAAACUUAUGAAAGAAGACAGAUCAAAAAAAAUCCCUUAUUUGGAAGUUAAUGUGUGAUGCCAGUUCUGAGCGACUACAAUGGCUUUUAAAAUAACUUGCAUAAGCCCAGAAGUCUAUGUAACAACUUUAUGAAAUGAUCCGGGGUAAGAUAAAAGAAGCAUUCAAUCAAAAUCUAAGAAUAAAGCCAAGGUUAAAUUAAGCUGUGUUUACCAGAAG
RNAcentral lists this long non-coding RNA (372 nucleotides) under Homo sapiens (human). Its description in RNAcentral is "HSALNT0313209". The record is from RNAcentral. Lineage: Eukaryota; Metazoa; Chordata; Mammalia; Primates; Hominidae.